GUCUUUUUGAUAAUGAUUUAAAGUCUGAUCUGCUCACUGAUGUUUAUUUAAGAGCCGCGGUAUUUUGACCGUGCAAAGGUAGCGUGAUAAUUAGUUUUUUGAUUGAAAGCUGGUAUGAAUGAUUUGACGAGAAAAUAGCUGUCUCUAUUUAAUAAGUUUAAUUUUAUGUUUAAGUAAAAAAUCUUAAAUAUUUUCAAGGGACGAGAAGACCCUAUAGAGUUUUAUAUUUAAAUAAUAUUUAUUAAUUAAUGAAGUUGAAUUUAAUUAUUAUUUAACUAUUUGAUUGGGGUGAUUUAAAGAUUUGAUUAACUCUUUAUAAUAAGUUAACAAUGAUUUUUGGAAUAUUUGAUCUAUAGAAAUAAUAGAAAGAUUUAAUUACCUUAGGGAUAACAGCGUAAUUUUUUAUUAAGUUCAUAUUAUUAUAAAAGGUUGCGACCUCGAUGUUGGAUUAAAAUUUAAAUUAGGUGUAGGUGCUUAAUUUUUAAGUCUGUUCGACUUUUGAAAUUUUACA
This 511-nucleotide ribosomal RNA is filed under the name Arrhipis capucina. RNAcentral's name for it is "partial 16S ribosomal RNA". The record is from RNAcentral. Lineage: Eukaryota; Metazoa; Arthropoda; Insecta; Coleoptera; Eucnemidae.